Molecule: ribosomal RNA, 1509 nt
Filed under: Helicobacter pylori
Lineage: Bacteria; Pseudomonadati; Campylobacterota; Epsilonproteobacteria; Campylobacterales; Helicobacteraceae
Description: bacterial SSU rRNA
Rfam family: Bacterial small subunit ribosomal RNA
Source: RNAcentral
UUUAUGGAGAGUUUGAUCCUGGCUCAGAGUGAACGCUGGCGGCGUGCCUAAUACAUGCAAGUCGAACGAUGAAGCUUCUAGCUUGCUAGAAUGCUGAUUAGUGGCGCACGGGUGAGUAACGCAUAGGUCAUGUGCCUCUUAGUUUGGGAUAGCCAUUGGAAACGAUGAUUAAUACCAGAUACUCCCUACGGGGGAAAGAUUUAUCGCUAAGAGAUCAGCCUAUGUCCUAUCAGCUUGUUGGUAAGGUAAUGGCUUACCAAGGCUAUGACGGGUAUCCGGCCUGAGAGGGUGAACGGACACACUGGAACUGAGACACGGUCCAGACUCCUACGGGAGGCAGCAGUAGGGAAUAUUGCUCAAUGGGGGAAACCCUGAAGCAGCAACGCCGCGUGGAGGAUGAAGGUUUUAGGAUUGUAAACUCCUUUUGUUAGAGAAGAUAAUGACGGUAUCUAACGAAUAAGCACCGGCUAACUCCGUGCCAGCAGCCGCGGUAAUACGGAGGGUGCAAGCGUUACUCGGAAUCACUGGGCGUAAAGAGCGCGUAGGCGGGAUAGUCAGUCAGGUGUGAAAUCCUAUGGCUUAACCAUAGAACUGCAUUUGAAACUACUAUUCUAGAGUGUGGGAGAGGUAGGUGGAAUUCUUGGUGUAGGGGUAAAAUCCGUAGAGAUCAAGAGGAAUACUCAUUGCGAAGGCGACCUGCUGGAACAUUACUGACGCUGAUUGCGCGAAAGCGUGGGGAGCAAACAGGAUUAGAUACCCUGGUAGUCCACGCCCUAAACGAUGGAUGCUAGUUGUUGGAGGGCUUAGUCUCUCCAGUAAUGCAGCUAACGCAUUAAGCAUCCCGCCUGGGGAGUACGGUCGCAAGAUUAAAACUCAAAGGAAUAGACGGGGACCCGCACAAGCGGUGGAGCAUGUGGUUUAAUUCGAGGAUACACGAAGAACCUUACCUAGGCUUGACAUUGAGAGAAUCCGCUAGAAAUAGUGGAGUGUCUAGCUUGCUAGACCUUGAAAACAGGUGCUGCACGGCUGUCGUCAGCUCGUGUCGUGAGAUGUUGGGUUAAGUCCCGCAACGAGCGCAACCCCCUUUCUUAGUUGCUAACAGGUCAUGCUGAGAACUCUAAGGAUACUGCCUCCGUAAGGAGGAGGAAGGUGGGGACGACGUCAAGUCAUCAUGGCCCUUACGCCUAGGGCUACACACGUGCUACAAUGGGGUGCACAAAGAGAAGCAAUACUGCGAAGUGGAGCCAAUCUUCAAAACGCCUCUCAGUUCGGAUUGUAGGCUGCAACUCGCCUGCAUGAAGCUGGAAUCGCUAGUAAUCGCAAAUCAGCCAUGUUGCGGUGAAUACGUUCCCGGGUCUUGUACUCACCGCCCGUCACACCAUGGGAGUUGUGUUUGCCUUAAGUCAGGAUGCUAAAUUGGCUACUGCCCACGGCACACACAGCGACUGGGGUGAAGUCGUAACAAGGUAACCGUAGGUGAACCUGCGGUUGGAUCACCUCCUUUCUAGA